AACAGGGAUUGCCUCAGUAACGGCGAGUGAAGCGGCAAAAGCUCAAAUUUGAAAGCCUCGGCAUUGUAAUUUGAAGAAAUAAAACCCCCGGCAAGGCGAAACAAGUCCAUUGGAAAAUGGCGCCACAGAGGGUGACAGCCCCGUAGUUUCUACCCGCGCCAUCCCGUUUUAUUUCCAAGAGUCGAGUUGUUUGGGAUUGCAGCUCUAACGGUGGUAAAUUCCAUCAAAAGCUAAAUACUGGCGAGAGACCGAUAGCGAACAAGUACAGUGAUGGAAAGAUGAAAAGCACUUUGAAAAGAGAGUGAAAAAGUACGUGAAAUUGUUGAAAGGGAAGGGCUUGCUCGGCUGCGGAGGUCGGGGAAAAGGAGGCCAAAACAAGCAAGGAAUGUAACUCUCGAGUAUUAUAUCCUCGCCCACACCCUCACCUUUCCCCGUGGACCGCUAACAGGAUCUCCCUACAUCCUAGCAAGUCGCCCGUCUUGAAACAC
This 488-nucleotide ribosomal RNA is filed under the name Metschnikowia cf. lunata MAL-2003. Its description in RNAcentral is "LSU rRNA". It matches the Rfam family "Eukaryotic large subunit ribosomal RNA", at positions 67 to 662 of the family's 3401-position model. The record is from RNAcentral. Lineage: Eukaryota; Fungi; Ascomycota; Pichiomycetes; Serinales; Metschnikowiaceae.